AAUUUCGGGUAAUUGCAGUCUAGCUUAACUAGAUUGAGGAAAGUCCAUGCUCGCACAAGCUGCGACGCUUGUAGUGUUCGUGCUUAGCGAAACAAUAAGCUAAGGCCUUUAUCUUUAGAUAAAGUGACGGCAGAAAAAAAGUCUAAGGUUUUUUAAAACUAUGACUGAGUAUUCUUGAAAGUGCCACAGUGACGAAGCAAUGUUGGAAACGGCAUUGGUGGAACGCGGUAAACCCCUCGAGCGAGCAACCCAAACUUUGGUAGGGGCACUUUUCCUAGGGAAUUGAACCGAUGGAAGAGGCAGUAAUUGCAGACAGAUAAUUACCUCCGGAUAAUAUGACCCUGACAGGUUAUCUGAGACAGAACAUGGCUUACAGAA
Molecule: RNase P RNA, 378 nt
Filed under: Carnobacterium iners
Lineage: Bacteria; Bacillati; Bacillota; Bacilli; Lactobacillales; Carnobacteriaceae
Description: Carnobacterium sp. LMG 26642 Bacterial RNase P class B
Rfam family: Bacterial RNase P class B
About the family: Ribonuclease P (RNase P) is a ubiquitous endoribonuclease, found in archaea, bacteria and eukarya as well as chloroplasts and mitochondria. Its best characterised activity is the generation of mature 5'-ends of tRNAs by cleaving the 5'-leader elements of precursor-tRNAs.
Source: Rfam by way of RNAcentral